Bombyx mori (domestic silkworm) is the source of this 892-nucleotide long non-coding RNA. RefSeq lists it as uncharacterized. The transcript is spliced from 6 exons. The record is from RefSeq and is a predicted model, not a curated record. Lineage: Eukaryota; Metazoa; Arthropoda; Insecta; Lepidoptera; Bombycidae.
CCAACCGCCGCCACGGACGCGAGUGCCAUGACUGUAUAGAGAUUACCAAAUGAGUGCUUCGCGGACGCACCGCACGCGAUCAUCGGUGCCUUACAGAAGAACCUGUUCUAUUUGACUGUGUUUUUUUUUUAAUUUCCAAACCGAACUAGGAUAAGACUUUUCUUGGAUCGUACCGUUUGUGGCUAAUGUAUGGCGAUGUCGCGUCGUCGCAGGCUCGAUGGAGGCGGGUGAGCGGGACCGUCGGCGCCGAUGCGCGCCUGGUUCGUCGUGUGUGCGGCGCUCGUCGCGGUAAGCCGGGCGACCGCGGCGACGUCCGCGCACCCCCACGCCCCUACCGCGCGACUAGAGCGGAUCAAGUCACAGAUACUCGCCAAGCUGGGUCUGACCUCAAGACCGACACCACAAGGCGCGCCGCCCCGCGACGUUGUUCGCGCGAUCUUGGCGCGCGCAGCCGACUCCGAACCACAACCACCACAGCAAGAGGAGCACAUGAGAGAAGUCAUUGCGAUAGCGCAUAAAGAUUUUAGAAAUUUAACAUUCGAAGAUCGUAAUUAAAAAUGAUGCUCCAAGAUUUGAUCUGAGAUGUCUGAAGCUUGCUGCGCACUGGACUUCUCUAAGGAAACAAGAGAUGAACCAGGAAGCCGAUCUUCAAGGUCACCGUCACCAGUCAUCGGCUUGGAAGCGAAUGACAAAUGGAAAUAGAGACAGAAUGAGCUUCCGGUAUCACGUAAGCACGAAUAAAACCAACGAAAACGGGUGAGCUUUUUCCUAAGAUUAUUAGAAUAUGAUUGACUGACAAAAAACUUUAUUUCAUAAUGACGUAAAAGCUUCAUAGUGUAUGGCAGGAAAAACAAUUGGGCUCCUGCGUUAAUAGAAAUAAACGGACUACCGG